RNAcentral lists this long non-coding RNA (1244 nucleotides) under Podarcis muralis (Common wall lizard). Its description in RNAcentral is "lncRNA (ENSPMRG00000003133.1)". Lineage: Eukaryota; Metazoa; Chordata; Lepidosauria; Squamata; Lacertidae. The record is from RNAcentral.
UAAGCAGAGGUCGGAUGGGGACCUGUCAGGGAUGCAACAGCUGUGAUGGGGUUGGACUUGAUGAACCUAUGAUUCUCUGGUCUCUGGCUGCUCCUAGGCACAUAGAAUCAUAGAAUCAUAGAGUUGGGAGAGACCACAAGGGCCAUCGAGUCCAACCCCCUGCCAAGCAGGAAACACCAUCAGAGCACUCCUGACAUAUGGUUGUCAAGCCUCUGCUUAAAGACCUCCAAAGAAGGAGACUCCACCACACUCCUUGGCAGCAAAUUCCACUGUCGAACAGCUCUUACUGUCAGGAAGUUCUUCCUAAUGUUUAGGUGGAAUCUUCUUUCUUGUAGUUUGGAUCCAUUGCUCCGUGUCCGCUUCUCUGGAGCAGCAGAAAACAACCUUUCUCCCUCCUCUAUGUGACAUCCUUUUAUAUAUUUGAACAUGGCUAUCAUAUCACCCCUAAACCUCCUCUUCUCCAGGCUAAACAUGCCCAGCUCCCUUAGCCGUUCCUCAUAAGGCAUCGUUUCCAGGCCUUUGACCAUUUUGGUUGCCCUCCUCUGGACACGUUCCAGUUUGUCAGUGUCCUUCUUGAACUGUGGUGCCCAGAACUGGACACAGUACUCCAGGUGAGGUCUGACCAGAGCAGAAUACAGUGGCACUAUUACUUCCCUUGAUCUAGAUGCUAUACUCCUAUUGAUGCAGCCCAGAAUUGCAUUGGCUUUUUUAGCUGCCGCGUCACACUGUUGGCUCAUGUCAAGUUUGUGGUCAACCAAGACUCCUAGAUCCUUUUCAAAUGUACUGCUCUCAAGCCAGGUGUCACCCAUCUUGUAUGCCCCUCAGGGCUUGCCACAUCCAUCCUGCAAACAACGGUUGGCAUCCCACAAGAUUUCAUCAGUCCUCCAGUCACCUAUAAGUAGAGGGACCUCUCCUUCCCCUGGCAAUUGCUCUUCCACUUGGCUUCUGGUACCUCCAGGAUUCCCACCAACCUCCAGCCAUGAAGAUCUUCUGUCUCCUCUCUGUUGCCGUCCUCUUCUUGAUGCUGCUGGCUCCAGAUUUCACCAGAGCCCAAUUUAAUUGCCGGCCGAGAUGUCAAAGGCAGGGAGGGAUACUGCAACUUUUUAGGUGCCGCCCGCCCCUAAGGCUCCUAUUUCGGUGUACUCGUCAAGUGGUGUGUUGCCGUAGAGGUGAGUUAAAUCUAAUCUUAGUUUGUCUGGAAAAUAAGUCAGAGGUGUCUCCUGAUCCCACAUACAUGAGACUCA